This 253-nucleotide ribosomal RNA is filed under the name uncultured bacterium. RNAcentral describes it as "partial 16S ribosomal RNA". It matches the Rfam family "Bacterial small subunit ribosomal RNA", at positions 524 to 776 of the family's 1533-position model. The record is from RNAcentral.
UACAGAGGGUGCGAGCGUUAAUCGGAAUUACUGGGCGUAAAGCGCACGUAGGCGGCCAUGUAUGUCGAUUGUGAAAUCCCCGGGCUCAACCUGGGAACUGCAUUCGAAACUGCAUGGCUGGAGUACGGAAGAGGAAGGCGGAAUUCCCGGUGUAGCGGUGAAAUGCGUAGAUAUCGGGAGGAACAUCAGUGGCGAAGGCGGCCUUCUGGUCCAGUACUGACGCUCAAGUGCGAAAGCGUGGGGAGCAAACAGG